RNAcentral lists this ribosomal RNA (394 nucleotides) under uncultured bacterium. Its description in RNAcentral is "bacterial SSU rRNA". It matches the Rfam family "Bacterial small subunit ribosomal RNA", at positions 29 to 410 of the family's 1533-position model. The record is from RNAcentral.
AAUCAACGCUGGCGGCGUGCCUAACACAUGCAAGUCGAACGCGAAAGUCCCGCAAGGGAUGAGUAGAGUGGCAAACGGGUGAGUAACGCGUGGGUGACCUGCCUUCGAGUGGGGGAUAACGUUCCGAAAGGGACGCUAAUACCGCAUGACAUCCUGCCUUUGAAGAGGUGGAGAUCAAAGCUGGGGAUCGCAAGACCUAGCGCUUGGAGAGGGGCCCGCGUCCGAUAGCUAGUUGGUGGGGUAACGGCCUACCAAGGCAACGAUCGGUAGCCGGCCUGAGAGGGCGGACGGCCACACUGGGACUGAGACACGGCCCAGACUCCUACGGGAGGCAGCAGUGGGGAAUUGUUCGCAAUGGGCGCAAGCCUGACGACGCAACGCCGCGUGGAGGAUG